Stegastes partitus (bicolor damselfish) is the source of this 114-nucleotide long non-coding RNA. RefSeq lists it as uncharacterized. The transcript is spliced from 6 exons. The record is from RefSeq and is a predicted model, not a curated record. NCBI's taxonomy places the organism in Eukaryota, Metazoa, Chordata, Actinopteri, Pomacentridae.
AGAUGGUUUUCUUACGCUCCCUGAUGAUCUUGUUGAGUUUUGCCUGAAGUUUUUCUUCCUCUGUCUUGAGAAAGUUCAGUUGCAGUUCCACUUCUUUGUACUUCUGAAUCAGCU